AUACGUAGGGUGCGAGCGUUAAUCGGAAUCAUUGGGCGUAAAGCGUGCGUAGGCGGUUUGGCAAGUCGGGUGUGAAAGCCCUCGGCUCAACCGAGGAAGUGCGUUCGAAACUGCCAAACUUGAAUACUGGAGAGGGUGGCGGAAUUCCCGGUGUAGAGGUGAAAUUCGUAGAUAUUAGGAAGAACACCGGUGGCGAAGGCGGCCAUCUGGACCGGCACUGACGCUGAGGCGCGAAAGCGUGGGGAGCAAACAGGAUUAGAUACCCCAGUAGUCC
This 274-nucleotide ribosomal RNA is filed under the name uncultured bacterium. Its description in RNAcentral is "partial 16S ribosomal RNA". It matches the Rfam family "Bacterial small subunit ribosomal RNA", at positions 523 to 796 of the family's 1533-position model. The record is from RNAcentral.